Molecule: ribosomal RNA, 491 nt
Filed under: uncultured bacterium
Lineage: Bacteria
Description: partial 16S ribosomal RNA
Rfam family: Bacterial small subunit ribosomal RNA
Source: RNAcentral
AGUGAACGCUGGCGGUAGGCCUAACACAUGCAAGUCGAACGGCAGCACAGUAAGAGCUUGCUCUUACGGGUGGCGAGUGGCGGACGGGUGAGGAAUACAUCGGAAUCUACUUUUUCGUGGGGGAUAACGUAGGGAAACUUACGCUAAUACCGCAUACGACCUACGGGUGAAAGCAGGGGAUCUUCGGACCUUGCGCGAUUGAAUGAGCCGAUGUCGGAUUAGCUAGUUGGCGGGGUAAAGGCCCACCAAGGCGACGAUCCGUAGCUGGUCUGAGAGGAUGAUCGGCCACACUGGAACUGAGACACGGUCCAGACUCCUACGAGAGGCAGCAGGGGGGAAUAUUGGACAGUGGGCGGAAGCCUGAUCCAGCCAUACCGCGUGGGUGAAGAAGGCCUUCGGGUUGUAAAGCCCUUUUGUUGGGAAAGAAAAGCAGCAGGUUAAUACCCCGCUGUUCUGACGGUACCCAAAGAAUAAGCACCGGCUAACUUCGU